GAGAUGACUGACAGCAAGGACAGGGCAGAUACAGCGGGAGAUUGAGCUGGGCCACCAGUGUGGGUUGGCCUUGAGCUGGUAAGGGACAUUGAGACUUCUAGAGUGAAGGAAAAGAAAGUAAAAACCAAUGAAUAUAGAUAUGUUUACAGAGAAAUUGAGCGAGACCUCCCUGAUGACCUCAAUUUUUCCACUGAUGUAAAGGCAAGGUCAUCUGCUGAGAAUGAAAUCAGCAGUUGUUUGGAGAAAGGACUUGGGACCGAAGGUCUUUGGAGUCCCUGACCACCUAGGAAAUAUAACUCCUUGGUCUUGGAUUUCUCGGCCUGGUCCUCAGAAAUGGUGCUGGACAAAGCUGUGAAUCCCCCGGUGCAUAGUUGUAUAUUCUUCAUUGUGGGUCCUUCUAGUUGUGGCAUGUGGGACGCUGCCUCAGCGUGGUUUGAUGAGCAGUGCCAUGUCCGCGCCCAGGAUUCCAACCAACGAUACACUGGGCCGCCUGCAGCGGAGCGCGUGAACUUAACCACUCGGCCACGGGACCAGCCCCAUCCUAAGCUACCAUUUCAUGUGUUUUACAAACAGGUGUAUAAGAAGUAAUACAUUUUAAUGCCUUAUAGUUCCCUUGAUUGUGACUCUGGCCAACUUUACAAUGAAGUAGCAGGCUUCUCUGGAAAUUGAAUCCCAAAGAUUAAUUUUAACUAGGUAUAACUUGUCUUUUGGAUGCUUCCAAUUUAUUGCAAGUAGUUUUUAUAUUAAUAUUUUGUUCUGACUAAAUCAGUGGAGUUUAUUUAUUUGGCAACUUAUAUUUUUCUUAUUUUACUAUUUUGUUGUCGUUAAGCAAUAUGGAACAAUUGAAUGCUGUAGGUGCGUCUAUUUAGGUCCAUUUCAUGGAACAAUUAUUUAUUGAGCAUACACUUGGUGCUUGGAGAGCAAUAAAGCAGUGGCAUAGCAAGGGCAGAGUGGUGGGAGCAGUUCACCUGGAAUGCAGGCAAAAGGGAGUGCUUGUCUGGAGAGAAUCAAAAACAAUGACAAAACCGACGAAAAUCACUCUGCUUUUUGUUAUCACCGUGCACCAGAAAGUCUAAACAAUGGCAAAGCUUUUUGUUGUCCUAAGUUCUAAGCAAUUGCUGUGGAUACUGCUAAGUUUUAAUAAUAUAUAUGUUAGCUUCAAUUUAGCACAUUUUUAUUAUUUAUCCUUUAGUAAGCAUUUUAUUCCACAUGGAAGUUAAUAAGGAGAACUCCCAGAUAUAUUGUCAUUCCUGACAU
This 1257-nucleotide long non-coding RNA is filed under the name Equus asinus (donkey). RNAcentral describes it as "lncRNA (ENSEASG00005035818.1)". Lineage: Eukaryota; Metazoa; Chordata; Mammalia; Perissodactyla; Equidae. The record is from RNAcentral.